This 2305-nucleotide long non-coding RNA is filed under the name Aquilegia coerulea. Its description in RNAcentral is "long non-coding RNA (ACOE_LNC000769)". Lineage: Eukaryota; Viridiplantae; Streptophyta; Magnoliopsida; Ranunculales; Ranunculaceae. The record is from RNAcentral.
GUCAUCAUCAACAAAAAUAAGGUGAGUCUAACAAGGUGUUGCAGUGAUUGGAGAGAUAGAAGACUACGCAGAGCACUAUUGUAAGUAUUAACUUCUAUGAUUAGGUUAAUUUGAGAUUGUAUUAGUGAGUGUACUUUUGUAUUUCAAUUCAUAUACUAGAUUAUUUAUCGUCGUGAGGACGGUUGUGGAUGUUUCCUAGUGGUUGAGUUUUACCACGUUAAAUCUCGUGUCUCCAUAUUCUUUAUUGUUUUUUUAGGGUUAUUUUGUAUUUGGUCCCUCUAGAAAAUAGCUAUUUAGCAACUGGUAUAGAGUUUUUCAUUUAUUAGUAAAUAGUUCUAUUUUUGUCAGUUGACUGAGAUCAAACCAUCCUUAAUUUUCUAAUACCUAAACUACCCAUGCACGUGCUAGCCACAUGUUUUCCUAAAUUUUCAACAUCACUAUGAAAAAAAAUUUGAUAAUUGAACUUUACAAAAGAGGAAAGGUUGUUUGUUUUUAUCAAAUUAAGCAUAGUAAUUGGUUACCAAAGGAAAAAAAUAAAAAUAAAAUGAGACAUAGUAAUUGAAAAAAGAAAUGGGUAAUGGACUAAUGAUGUUCAUUUUGCAACUUUGUUAAUGGAUUUGAGGUUUUGGAGAAUACAAAAAUUGGGGUUUGUACUUUCUUUUGGGAUUCAAAUUUGAGAAGGGGGAGUGAGAAUGAUAAUUGAUUAGAUCUGAAUUUGACAUUGCUUGAUCAACUAAGAAUUGUAGAGCAAGUCUCCCAUAUGCCCAUUCUUUCAAUUGAGAAACAAGUUUGUCAUAAGCAAAUUGUUGUAAUUGAUAAGCAGCAAAAACAGUUUUAGCAAAUGAGGUAGUAUGCAUCAUGACCAUAGGAGGAGGGCAUUAGAGCCAAUUUAAUAGCUUCCUUCCUUCACCCACCAUUUUAUUCGACUCCGCCACCAACAUUCCUAACACCACCACCAUCAACUCUUGCUAUUGAAGUGAUAGAUAUGUAUCUCCAGAAACAAAACUCUAUACAAAGAAAGAAAAUUCCUACAAUUCAAGUUAUAGAUUUGAAUCUCCAACACCACCACCACCACCAUCAACACUGCUACUCAUCCCUUGAUUCACUGGUUGGACCUGAUUCCGGUGAGUUAACAAACUCCGGCGAAGAGUUUUUCAGAUGGUUGAUUGAAUGAUUUUUUUUUUCCCAAAAGAAAUUAUACACAUAAUUUUUUUUUUUUUGCACAGUAUACACAUAAUUUUUGUUUUUUUCACAGUAGAAGAAGAUGAAAAGAAGUAAUUACUAAUGAAAUCAGGAAAUUAACAGAAUUUUAAAUCUUUUGGAGAGUCUAGAUCCAAGCAACCUUUGUCACAUAUCCUUAUCUAUGCAUUUAGAUGAUCUUGAAAUGUUGAAUUAAAUGGGUUAAUGAUAUGUCGACAUGUGGUAGGAAUUUUUUCUUAAUAAUCUUUGUAGGAAAUUAGAUUCAUAUAAUAAAACACCAUAUUGAAGGGUAAUUUUGGUAUUUUAAAAUAAUAGAUGGUUUGACCUCAGUCAACUGAGUUGACUGACAGUUAAAUAACGGAAAUAAGACUAUUUGCUAAUAAAUGAAAAACUCUAUACCACUUGCUAAAUAGCUAUUUUGUAGAGAGAUCAAAUACAAAAUAACUCUUUUUUUUUUUAUUGUUUAUUGUUUAUUGUUGAAUUGCACUUAUUUGGGGCUUACAAAUACAUGAGCAUUAAGACUAUUUAAUUGUAUGCAAAAUUACAUUUUCAUGAGUUCUGCUUUCAGUGUCUUGUAUUUCACAUGACUUAGGAGUCGGACAUGGAUAUAUAUGGGCAUUCACCAUUCACCAUUCAAUUGUUUCUUUGUUUGUUAUUGAAAAAUAUAUUGAAAAUUUUGUCUCCUUUUAUUAUAAACAAAAAAUGUUGUGAUAUUGAAGUAAACUAAAUAUGUGAUACUAGCUUUUCAAUUCACUCGAUUGCAAAAUCAUUCAUUUGUGUAACAUGAUCUUGUGUUCACUCUGUCAUUAAGGUUGAACAAAAUUUACAGGCUUGAUUGAUGGUUUGGAGUGGUUCUAUCCAGAAGUUGCAUUGAGAGGUGAUCAUGGACCUAGAGGAUAUGUGUUUCAUUUAGGAAAUGGAAACUUAUGUUUGAUUGUGAGUUCCAUUGCUUGUGUAAAGUUUCCAGAUACAAAUAACUAUGAUCAGAACCAAAAGAUCUUUCUUCGUGCUGAGGUUGAGGCUUCAGCCAUUUAUAACAACCCUGAUGUAAUGUAAGUGCAAAGUGUGUUUAAUGAAUUCUUCCUGUUGUACUUUUGCCUCACCA